ACAUUUCAACUUGCUCUAAUAGAAUUUCAAAAAAAACAAUUAAAAAAUACGUCCCCUGAAAUCAACACUGGACAGCUGUUAGAAUAGAGUCUUGAGGUAACAAGAAAUCUAUUUAUCCUUUCGCCCGUUUUGAGGGGUGUGUGGAAUUAUACCGGCAGCAGCAACCGUCGCUUAGAAGACAGUCCCAUUCCUUCCCCUGCAUGAACCACAAAGUGAAACAGAAGAGGAGUGCUACCUCCACAGAGAACCUUUUGGCCGCUUCAAGCCCACUUUGCUCGGCGGCGAGGGACUCCAGAACGCCUGCGCAGUACCCAGCAGCCGUUGAGCCCGCGCUUCAGAGACUGGUUCUCCCACAUUUCCGGUGUCCCGGCGUGAGGCUUUCGUAGGACUGAUGGCACAGCUGCUCCGGAUGGGAAGCAUUUUGCUUUGGGUUUCGAGUCCUUACUAGCCUACCGCCGUCAUUUUUAUUUGUUCUGGAACUGACACCAGCAAGGCAGAGAAAGCACUCGUCAAACACCCCGGAGAGAUCCCAUUGCGUCCUCCCUGGAUAGGCAACAGUUGUAGAGGCAGUGUACCCCAGGAAGUGAGAGUGGCUCCUCAAAAGUUCCUUCUCCAAAAACUACACUCAGCAUCUCAGCAUCCAGACGUGGGUUUUGACUGUGUCUAUUACCUGGGAUGGUGCAAAACCAGACAUGUGAAAAGCUGAAAACACAAGUGGCACCUCCACCUUCAGGAGCAUUUCAAUAUAAUGAGUGCUGCAAAAGUAUAUCGGAUGGAUGCCAGAUUCUAUAGUGUCAGCAGACUAUGAUUUACAGACAAUGAAAAAUGGGAAGAGAAAGUUAAAAAAUCUGUUUUAAACUAAUUCCUUACUACCACCGAGGAAAAGAG
Long non-coding RNA from Neofelis nebulosa (Clouded leopard), 888 nucleotides. RefSeq lists it as uncharacterized. The record is from RefSeq and is a predicted model, not a curated record. The transcript is spliced from 4 exons. Lineage: Eukaryota; Metazoa; Chordata; Mammalia; Carnivora; Felidae.